RNAcentral lists this unclassified non-coding RNA (293 nucleotides) under uncultured Lacrymaria. RNAcentral describes it as "sequence contains ITS2". The stretch from base 1 to 52 matches the Rfam family "5.8S ribosomal RNA", at positions 103 to 154 of the family's 154-position model. The record is from RNAcentral. Lineage: Eukaryota; Fungi; Basidiomycota; Agaricomycetes; Agaricales; Agaricaceae.
AACGCACCUUGCGCUCCUUGGUAUUCCGAGGAGCAUGCCUGUUUGAGUGUCAUUAAAUUCUCAACUUCAUCAACUUUGUUGUUGAAGCUUGGAUGUGGGGGUCUUGCAGGUCUGCCUUAAUUGUGUGGUCUGCUCCUCUGAAAUAUAUUAGCGGGUUGGCUUCCCUCUAUCAGUGUGAUAAUUAUCUACGCUGUGGAUGGGUUUGGCUUUCAGACCAGCUUCUAAUCGUCCUUCUAGGACAAUCUCUUGACAUUUUUGACCUCAAAUCAGGUAGGACUACCCGCUGAACUUAA